AUCUUUGAAUACAGAAGGGAUGCACACUCAGCCACACGCAUCGAUACCGGACAGAGCCUCAGGGUCUAUCAUCUUGUCUGCUAGAUCCUCCCACUGAGCACAGGAAAGUUUGGGGUUAAGCAAAACCGACUUUUAGUAAUCACCAACUCAGUAUCCAGGACAUCGUGGGGAUUGGUGUGAUGCUGCUGGAUUUCACAACAGUGACGUAAAAUAAAUAAUUAACUUAGUAUAGCACCUGCCGUAAAGUUACUGCUCAAGAAAUAUGACUCUAUUUUUUACUGAUUACCCUGUAAAAUACCAUAACCAUUUUGACAUAGUGAUUAUGAAAAACAGAAGUUUGAUUUUAAUGAACAACUGUUGAGCUUCUUUUUCUCCUAAAUCCUGUGAAGAUAUUUUUCCCACUUAAAUUUAUUCUACUAUGCUUUGCACUGUGAAACAACACUAAAACAUUGAUGGACUCAAACCAACACAAAGGAACAAAGACAUCUUCGGAGGAGAGAAGGAACAGCAGGCUCAAAUUAAAAAAUACAAAUACUGAACAUUGUUCAUGCAUAAAGAUGCUGAUUUGUUUUUCAAAACUUAUUUUUGUUUCUCCUGUAAUCUUACAUUAGCAUUUUCUUGUAGAUUUGUAUUUCUGUAAAUGUAUAAUAGUAAUAUAACUUUUAUACAAUAGGGGUAUAUGGAAA
Long non-coding RNA from Chinchilla lanigera (long-tailed chinchilla), 686 nucleotides. RefSeq lists it as uncharacterized. The record is from RefSeq and is a predicted model, not a curated record. The transcript is spliced from 3 exons. Lineage: Eukaryota; Metazoa; Chordata; Mammalia; Rodentia; Chinchillidae.